RNAcentral lists this ribosomal RNA (433 nucleotides) under uncultured bacterium. Its description in RNAcentral is "partial 16S ribosomal RNA". It matches the Rfam family "Bacterial small subunit ribosomal RNA", at positions 29 to 507 of the family's 1533-position model. The record is from RNAcentral.
AACGAACGCUGGCGGCAUGCCUAACACAUGCAAGUCGAACGAGACCUUCGGGUCUAGUGGCGCACGGGUGCGUAACGCGUGGGAACCUGCCCUUAGGUUCGGAAUAACUCCCCGAAAGGGGUGCUAAUACCGGAUAAUGUCUUCGGACCAAAGAUUUAUCGCCUUUGGAUGGGCCCGCGUUGGAUUAGCUAGUUGGUAGGGUAAAAGCCUACCACGGCGACGAUCCAUAGCUGGUAAGAGAGGAUGAUCAGCCACACUGGGAGUGAGACACGGCCCAGACUCCUACGGGAGGCAGCAGUGGGGAAUAUUGGACAAUGGGCGAAAGCAUGAUCCAGCAAGGACGCGUGAGUGAUGAAGGCCUUAGGGUUGUAAAGCUCUUUUACCCGGGAUGAUAAUGACAGUACCGGGAGAAUAAGCUCCGGCUAACUCCGUG